Macaca fascicularis (crab-eating macaque) is the source of this 1586-nucleotide long non-coding RNA. The record is from Ensembl. NCBI's taxonomy places the organism in Eukaryota, Metazoa, Chordata, Mammalia, Primates, Cercopithecidae.
GGGAUCUGCCCGCCCCGGCCUCCCAAAGUGCUGGGAUUACAGGCGUGAGCCACCACGCCUGGCUGAGAACUGUUUGACAGAGGCUGAGGGGGGGCUCCUGUCCCUUCCUGGGACAUCCACAUCCCACCCAGUUUCCCAUAUCGACUAUGACACUCGAAGCAUCACAGCAAGGGCAGCUGCAUCCCCGCAGUUCUCUGCACUCAUGCCACAGCUGCGUGAGCAGCCGCAGCCCUGGAGCUGCCACUCAGCCUUAUCGUGCUGGCACAAGCACAUCAGAAACUACCAAGCCCCCAAGAGGGAGGAUUGGGGACCCAGGGGAGUGAACCAGGAGGGAGGAAUGUGGCCCAGGAGAGUAGGGAGGAGUGGGGGCCCUGGGGAGUGAACUAUGAGGGAGGCGUGGGGGCUCAGGGGAUGAACCAGGAGGGAGGAGGGUGGAGUUCGGCCCAAGGAGUGAACCAGGAGGGAGAAGUGUGGUCCAGGGGAGUGAGUCAGGAGGGAGGAGGGAGGAAAGCGGUCCAGGGAAUGAAGCAGAAGGCUCUGGGGGUAGCAAGUUCACACACCACAAAUACCUCCCAAUCCAUCCGCGUGCAGGGAGGGGAUGGAAACCACACAGGACCUGCAGCACUUUCGCCUCGCAGAUGAGGAGUGAGGAUACCGACUCAUGCACAAAAUCAGAGCUAAAUUUCUACCACGGUGGGGAGACGCUUCAUAGACCCAAAUGGGUACAAAAAGAAACCAAUCAUACAAGAUCAGUGGAUGGAAUGGGAUCAGAAAUUUAAGCCUGUAACGAGUUUUCAGAAAAAACUUCACUUUAUCUGCAAGAUGACUGCAGCUCUGCUUGAUCAUUUCUGCAAAUGUCUAACUCAUGAUGAGCCAUCUCAGAGCCGUUCAAGAGGAGUAACAAAAUCAAAGCAUACGGCAUCCUCCGUAUUUUAGAUAGCCUGCAACAGUAUGGAAAUGAGCAGCGGUGCCAGAGCUUUCAAGUUUGUUUGAAGUAAAUUCCAGCAUCAGGGCAGCAUCUUCCUGGCUGAAGCAAUGAGGUAGGCUCCUGCUCACCGCAUGGGAGACCAGCUUUCAGCUAAGCUGCUGUUAAGGGUCUGCAAACCAUGAUCCCCGACCGAGCCUUGGCCAGGGAUUUUUACACGUUGAAGUUUUCACAAAAGAAAUAUAUGCAGAGACUUCUGUGGCCCUCAAAGCAUAACACGUUGCCUACUCUGCCCUUUACAGGAGCUUCUAGCUUUGCUGUCAGUUACAAAGUGUUUCUAUAAAAUAAUGUCACUGAUUCUCAAGCAUGCCAGCAAAAGUCACACUUCUCAACAAUCCUCAGUGGAGAUGCACCAUCCUGUGUUUCACACAGAUUUUAGAUUUUUAAAAGCCAAAAUAAGGGAGGUAAUUCAGCUAAGUAUUAUAGUAACACAAUUUGAGAUACUUACUGAUGUGUGACAACAGAAUACUUGGCAUUCCUGUGAGGCAAUAAACUAGCUCAAACACAAAAUAACAAAUCAAAGCAUGUUUUGGCCUCUCAAAGUGAUCAGUGAAAUUGGAAAUAACAUUCAGUUAAAUGACACUUAAAAAAAAAAAAAAAA